Molecule: long non-coding RNA, 230 nt
Filed under: Dasypus novemcinctus (nine-banded armadillo)
Lineage: Eukaryota; Metazoa; Chordata; Mammalia; Cingulata; Dasypodidae
Description: lncRNA (ENSDNOG00000050363.1)
Source: RNAcentral
GCCCAAGAAGCUGUGUCUCCUGACUCAUUCCUUAGAGUGCAGUUCCAGGGCAAUGUUAAGAACUUGGUCUUUUCUGGAAGACUUUGGGUGAUUGCAAUAUUUAUUCCAUAUCCUGUUUUAAUAUGUUGUAUUAUACAUCUGAAUAAGAAGAUCACUUUUGAGAAAAAAUACCACCUUCAAGUUGGCACAUCAUCUCUCAUCUGAAAUGCAGUGGAGCAGGAGCCUGGAGU